Molecule: ribosomal RNA, 1541 nt
Filed under: Escherichia coli
Lineage: Bacteria; Pseudomonadati; Pseudomonadota; Gammaproteobacteria; Enterobacterales; Enterobacteriaceae
Description: bacterial SSU rRNA
Rfam family: Bacterial small subunit ribosomal RNA
Source: RNAcentral
AAAUUGAAGAGUUUGAUCAUGGCUCAGAUUGAACGCUGGCGGCAGGCCUAACACAUGCAAGUCGAACGGUAACAGGAAGCAGCUUGCUGCUUCGCUGACGAGUGGCGGACGGGUGAGUAAUGUCUGGGAAACUGCCUGAUGGAGGGGGAUAACUACUGGAAACGGUAGCUAAUACCGCAUAACGUCGCAAGACCAAAGAGGGGGACCUUAGGGCCUCUUGCCAUCGGAUGUGCCCAGAUGGGAUUAGCUAGUAGGUGGGGUAACGGCUCACCUAGGCGACGAUCCCUAGCUGGUCUGAGAGGAUGACCAGCCACACUGGAACUGAGACACGGUCCAGACUCCUACGGGAGGCAGCAGUGGGGAAUAUUGCACAAUGGGCGCAAGCCUGAUGCAGCCAUGCCGCGUGUAUGAAGAAGGCCUUCGGGUUGUAAAGUACUUUCAGCGGGGAGGAAGGGAGUAAAGUUAAUACCUUUGCUCAUUGACGUUACCCGCAGAAGAAGCACCGGCUAACUCCGUGCCAGCAGCCGCGGUAAUACGGAGGGUGCAAGCGUUAAUCGGAAUUACUGGGCGUAAAGCGCACGCAGGCGGUUUGUUAAGUCAGAUGUGAAAUCCCCGGGCUCAACCUGGGAACUGCAUCUGAUACUGGCAAGCUUGAGUCUCGUAGAGGGGGUAGAAUUCCAGGUGUAGCGGUGAAAUGCGUAGAGAUCUGGAGGAAUACCGGUGGCGAAGGCGGCCCCCUGGACGAAGACUGACGCUCAGGUGCGAAAGCGUGGGGAGCAAACAGGAUUAGAUACCCUGGUAGUCCACGCCGUAAACGAUGUCGACUUGGAGGUUGUGCCCUUGAGGCGUGGCUUCCGGAGCUAACGCGUUAAGUCGACCGCCUGGGGAGUACGGCCGCAAGGUUAAAACUCAAAUGAAUUGACGGGGGCCCGCACAAGCGGUGGAGCAUGUGGUUUAAUUCGAUGCAACGCGAAGAACCUUACCUGGUCUUGACAUCCACGGAAGUUUUCAGAGAUGAGAAUGUGCCUUCGGGAACCGUGAGACAGGUGCUGCAUGGCUGUCGUCAGCUCGUGUUGUGAAAUGUUGGGUUAAGUCCCGCAACGAGCGCAACCCUUAUCCUUUGUUGCCAGCGGUCCGGCCGGGAACUCAAAGGAGACUGCCAGUGAUAAACUGGAGGAAGGUGGGGAUGACGUCAAGUCAUCAUGGCCCUUACGACCAGGGCUACACACGUGCUACAAUGGCGCAUACAAAGAGAAGCGACCUCGCGAGAGCAAGCGGACCUCAUAAAGUGCGUCGUAGUCCGGAUUGGAGUCUGCAACUCGACUCCAUGAAGUCGGAAUCGCUAGUAAUCGUGGAUCAGAAUGCCACGGUGAAUACGUUCCCGGGCCUUGUACACACCGCCCGUCACACCAUGGGAGUGGGUUGCAAAAGAAGUAGGUAGCUUAACCUUCGGGAGGGCGCUUACCACUUUGUGAUUCAUGACUGGGGUGAAGUCGUAACAAGGUAACCGUAGGGGAACCUGCGGUUGGAUCACCUCCUUA